This is a long non-coding RNA of Dreissena polymorpha, 3946 nucleotides long. RefSeq lists it as uncharacterized. The record is from RefSeq and is a predicted model, not a curated record. Lineage: Eukaryota; Metazoa; Mollusca; Bivalvia; Myida; Dreissenidae. The transcript is spliced from 2 exons.
GGCUGGUUUUUCAGUUUUCUUAUUGUUGGUGUUUUUUAACCGAAGUAGCGAAUUUUACAGAUUUAAAAUUUCUUUCUCAUUGUUAUCUACACAAACAAAAGGUUGUAAAUUUUCUCCUUUAAUUAUUUCUAAUCUAUUCUAGUAAACGUUUAUUAAAUAUGUAAAAUAAAGUUAGAAGCCGGUAGUUAAAAGGUGUUUCUUAGCAAUUCUUGUGAUAUUUAUGAUGGAUGCUGAGUUUACGGGCUGUAGUUUACGGAUUUCUGUACAGUGGUGGGGAAAAAGUGGAUCGGUCACAUGGCGUCUGAUCUAAGCAAUUGUAGUAAGAGCAAAAACAAUUUCAAGCUUUAUGAGAAAACGUAGUUGAUAUGCAUUCGUGUAUUCAGUGAAAUAACUAUGUUAUACUUAUUUUCUGAAAAUAGGCUAAUAUCUCACUGGCAGUAAGAGGGUAAAUUUCAAUCGAAAUAAAGGAAUUCCCGUGGCGUGUUAAACAAACAUAUUACUUUUGGUCAGCACAAAAAUGUCAAAAUAUAUUUAGCGUUAUUAUUCAAUUUCUGGAGAGUGGGUUGCUUCAGAUUCAAAUAGGGCGGGCACUAUGUUCAGGUUUAUCAUAAACACUUUAAAUGACUGUUGGUUUUUAUGUAGCAAUAUUAAAAGGAACUUAAUUGUGGCAAUGCGGCAAUAGUCGGUACUUACUGCAGUUAAGAGGUGGUCUUAUGGCGCAUUUAUUUAUAAUUACCAAGACAGUUUGUUGAGUCACGUUUUAGUUCAUAUGCAAUAAAUCUCUAAAAGGUUUGUUAAUUAUUAUAGUGGGUUAGCUAUAAGCCAAAUAUGGCUUUUUUCGGUAUUUACUUAUUAUCUUUAUUGUUUAUUUUAUUGCACACAUGGAAACGCGAAACCGGAAAAGGCGCCGUCCGUCGGUCAAACUACACCAGCAUCCCAGCCAAAACCUACCUGGCACCAGCCAACAACCCCGUCAGCUGCCUUCCACCCAAAUGCCCGAUCAGCUGCCUCCCAACCAACAGCCUGUCCAGCUGCCUCCCAACCAACAGCCUGUCCAGCUGCCUCUCACCCCCAGCCAUCGACUCGGUCAAUGGUCUUCAAACCAACAGUCCGGCCAUCAACCCGACCAGCUGCCUCUCAGUCAACAACUGGGCGACCAGAUGCAGCCUGCAGCAAGCCAGCCAGAUCCGGCUGUUCAAUCGGUGUCUACGAAGCAAAACUGUUCACUGCAGCUUUUAUGCUAGCGUUUUUCGGUUUUCUAAGAGUGGGCGAAAUAGCUGUUCCUAAAAAAGGUGAUAGUAUUUUACAGGCAGCGGUGUUGGCAAUAGAAGAUUUACAAUUUGAUUACAAUGGGGUAAUCAUUUCAAUCCGGCAUUCAAAAACUGAUCAGUUGGGCAAAGGGGUAGCGCUCAAAAUUACUAGGUCAAACAGUGAAUUUUGCCCAGUUGUGUGUCUUAACCAGUAUCUUCAUGUUCGUCCUCAAGGGCCUGGUCCCUUGUUUUUGCACUUUAACAAACAACCAAUUACUCGUUACCAAUUUUCUGCUAUUCUUAAGAAAACGGUUUCUCUUUUGGGUCUAAAUUAUGGGUCUUACAAAUCCCACUCCUUCAGAAUUGGAGCAGCAACUGCAGCUUCCCAACUAGGCUAUUCAGUGGAGAUCAUUAAACAGGCAGGCAGAUGGGCUUCCAAUGCCUACCAAACAUAUGUUCGUCCUGUUCCUGUUGUCAUGCCCAGCCUAAUAAAUAACCCCCAUUAAAAAGGUAUGGUUCAUAUAGUUAGAUUCAUGUGACUAACAAAAACCAAGUUGUAUUUAGGGAAAACCAUCUGGAUACUGGGUUCAUCAAUAAUCAAGCAAGCCUUCAUAGCAGCAAGAUUACGACCUGAAGGGGCCAACCUCUGCCUUGAACCCAACAUCAUCUGGUGGCAAGGGUACAGUGGGUUAACAUUUGCAGAAUCAAAGAAAAAAUUUCUUUCGCUUGCCAAUGUGGGUAAUUCUCCAGACUAUAUUGUGUUACAUGUAGGUGGUAAUGAUCUUGGUCGUCGGUCACUGGUGGACCUUCGAAAAUUGAUUGUCGAGCUAUUCAGGACUAUACUGUCUAUAUUUCCAAGUGUUAAGAUUGUAUGGUCUGCAGUGCUUCCAAGGUCAAAUUGGAGAUAUUCUGAUAAUAAAGUUGCUAUGGACAAAGCAAGAAAGCGCCUUAAUAGUCAUGGUUCAUCUAGGGCUUUGGCAUGUGGAGGGCAUUAAUUGGCCAACUCUGACUUUUGAAAAUUUGAGGAACAUUUGUUUGAGAAGGACGGAGUCCACUUGUCAACUCUGGGUACAGAUAUUUUUCUUUCUAAUAUGUCUGCAGGGCUUGAAAAAUUUAUAAAGCAUAAUACACCAAUCCAUUACUGAAGUUCUAGAUGCACAAAUUUGGGGGUUCUUACAAUUUUAAAUCCCAAACAUUAUGUAUGUUGGUGUUGCUAUUGAGUCCAAAAAUAGAUAUUUGCAGUUAGUUUGUAUGCAUAUUUUUCUUACUCAUAUGUAUGAAAAAAGAAAAAAGAAAGUUUUUUGCUGCUAAUUUUUAUGCAAUUUUUUGCUGCUAGUUUUUAUGCAUUUGUUUUCUGCUGGGUUUUAUGCAUUUUUGCUGCUAGUUUUUAUUCAUAUCUUUGCCUUGUGUUUACAGUUUACUGCUUCCGACUCCAAGCAUGCGUCCAUCCGCCCUGCAGCCAAAGUUCUUUGGCAGUGGCCACCCGUCAUCUCUGGCCCAGCUGGUUUCGAAGUUGGGGCAUUUGGGCCGCUGGGUCAGCGUUGUUGGGUGGCCAUAUGGCAAUCAGUGCCGGAUGGACGCUUUUUACCUGGCACAUUUUUUGGGGAAAAUAUAUAUGAUUUUGUUGGGAGUGCUGAUGGCCGUCACCCGGAGUCAGCACUCAUAUACAAUUUAUUUGUGCAGUUAGUUAUUUGCAGUUAGUUUGGGCUUGCCAUGUUCGCAGGUGGCCCUUGCUGCUUGGAGUCGAGACAUUAUAUGCCAGAACCAUUUUUAUGUUUUUAUGUUAUAAGGUCCUUUAAUAAAAAGUAAAAAUUUAGUUGAGUUUAUAUUUACUGUGUGAAAAGGGUUAUUCAUCGGAGUUUUCAUAUAGGCUUGCCCAUGUAAUGCUAGGUGGCAGUUUGGGUUUAGUUCUUGGCCUCUACAAUAAUAUGGUCUAUUACUAAAUAAUAGACCUGUUUAUUGUUGGGCCACUGCUGGGCUGGUUUUUCAGUUUUCUUAUUGUUGGUGUUUUUUAACCGAAGUAGCGAAUUUUACAGAUUUAAAAUUUCUUUCUCAUUGUUAUCUACACAAACAAAAGGUUGUAAAUUUUCUCCCCUCCCACCCAACCCAUGUAGUUUGUUUUGACACAGUGUUGUUCUGUCACACUUUACUGCGUCCGUUAUAUAUUUAAAAAUUUGGUCAGGCUUAGGGUAAAUAUAGAUUUAUUUUAAGUUUUAUUUGCCUGUCCACAUUAAUUUUAAUAACAUAAGGGGAAACUGAUUGUUUUCCGUACUAGAUUUGGUUUUAGUAUAUUACAUAUUCUGCUGGUUUGAGUUGCGUUUUUCAGUUUGCCGUGUAGACGCAGAGUACCAAACGUCGGAUACUGGUCGGUCACGACUCCACUUCCGAUGGGGCAGUUCGGACACCUCGGGUUCGUCGACAGUCGCUUGAAGUUAACAGUUCCUUGGCAAUCAGUGCCGGAUGGACGCUUUUUACCUGGCACAUUUUUUGGGGAAAAUAUAUAUGAUUUUGUUGGGAGUGCUGAUGGCCGUCACCCGGAGUCAGCACUCAUAUACAAUUUAUUUGUGCAGUUAGUUAGUUUGGGCUUGCCAUGUUCGCAGGUGGCCCUUGCUGCUUGGAGUCGAGACAUUAUAUGCCAGAACCAUUUUUUUUAUGUUUUUAUGUUAUAAGGUCCUUUAAUAAAAAGUAAAAAUUUA